RNAcentral lists this ribosomal RNA (268 nucleotides) under uncultured organism. Its description in RNAcentral is "partial 16S ribosomal RNA". It matches the Rfam family "Bacterial small subunit ribosomal RNA", at positions 355 to 640 of the family's 1533-position model. The record is from RNAcentral.
UGGGGAAUCUUGGACAAUGGGGGCAACCCUGAUCCAGCCAUGCCGCGUGAGUGAAGAAGGUCUUAGGAUCGUAAAGCUCUUUCGCCGGGGAAGAUAAUGACUGUACCCGGUAAAGAAACCCCGGCUAACUCCGUGCCAGCAGCCGCGGUAAUACGGAGGGGGUUAGCGUUGUUCGGAAUUACUGGGCGUAAAGGGCACGUAGGCGGGUCUGCAAGUUGGGGGUGAAAUCCCGGGGCUCAACCCCGGAAUGGCCUUCAAAACUGCGGGU